UACGUAGGGGGCUAGCGUUGUCCGGAAUCAUUGGGCGUAAAGCGCGCGUAGGCGGCCCGGUAAGUCCGCUGUGAAAGUCAAAGGCUCAACCUUUGAAUGUCAGCGGAUACUGCCGGGCUAGAGUCCGGAAGAGGCGAGUGGAACUCCUGGUGUAGCGGUGGAAUGCGCAGAUAUCAGGAAGAACACCAACGGCGAAGGCAGCUCGCUGGGACGGAACUGACGCUAAGGCGCGAAAGCUAGGGGAGCAAACGGG
Molecule: ribosomal RNA, 253 nt
Filed under: uncultured bacterium
Lineage: Bacteria
Description: partial 16S ribosomal RNA
Rfam family: Bacterial small subunit ribosomal RNA
Source: RNAcentral